UUUAAUAUUAAAUGUCUUUAUUUUUAAAUCUUUUUUGUUGUUUUUUUUUCUUUUUUCCAAAGUCGCUUGAUAAUCUUGACAAAUUGCAACAUCUUCCAUAAUUCUCAAACUGACGGUGUGUCUCUUGCUGUUCCAGAUUCGCUGUGGAGGGAAACGUUGUGCGCCGUUGCGGACGGGUGAAGUCCUUAACGACGAAAGCAGCUUUGACCGUACAAAUAAAACGAUGAACAGACCGGCGCCCGGCGUCCCGUGUGGCGACGCCGCGGGACGCGCGUGGUUCUGCGCAGGUCCUGGUCCGCCAGAACAAACAAGACCGAGUGACCGAAGAAAGAAUUCAGGGGCUCAGUAGCAGAAGUGUGUGUGUGUGUGUGUGUGUGUACAUUGGUGUGUGUACAGUAACGGUGGUCGACAUGAAACGUGUGUGUGUGUGUGUGUGUGUGUGUGUGUGUGUGUUGAACGGUGAAGGCGUUUUGGCGUAAAGUGAGUCACAGGCUGCGAGGUCGCUCCGGAUCCGGCAAAACGUCACUCAUUCGUUUCUACCACAGGUUGCCGGGGGUUAGGGGGGGGGUGAGGGUGAGGGUGGGGGGCUGUGAGGACUUUGACAAACAUCACAUUUGGGACCUUCACGUGAGCAGAGGCAUCACUACAAUCGAGUCUUUUCCCGUCCACGACAGAUUAUCGAUCCACUCGGAGACCACUACAGUGUGUGUGCGCGCACACACACACCAUGCUUCACAUUUGAACUCUUUGAGGAGGAGCUGCUGUGGCUCCCGGCUCCCGGCUCAGCAUUUUCAGAAACACCAUCUCUUUCUUCUACGUGGCCAAAAAAAAAGCUCUGCCCCGGCUGGAGUGCUACUUUGUCAUUCUACUGUAAAAACACGUUUUCAGAGUGAGGGGGUCCGUGGGUGGUGGGGGGGGUCUGUGAUAGCCACAUUCUGAACAGCCAGUGAUUGGUUAAGGGCCUGUCCAGUAUUUAAUAGGACACAAAACAUGAAAGAACCUCCUUCAGUAAAAUGUGCUCAAAAUAUCACAAAGCUAUAAACAAAACACGUAAAAGUAUUCUUUAAAAAAAAGAAAAAUCUGGUGAAGCCUAAAACUCUUCAUAGUUUUAAAGAAAUGAAUAAAGCUUAUAUACACAAACUCAAAGGCUAACUAAAAUACACCGUAAUAAUGAAUCUUCAUUAAUGUGAUUUCUUGAAAGGACCGGUGACCGUAUCAUACAACCAAGUUCAUACAAUCAGGGUUUUUUUUCCAUUCUCCUGGAAGCCAAAAAGAAAAGAAAAAAGGAAAACAAAUCCAACCUGGAAUAGUUCUAUUCAUCGCGACUUGUUUUCUGUGCACGUUUGUGUGUGUGUGUGUGCGUGUUUGUGUGUGUACAUUGGAGAGAAAUAUCAACGUCUUUUUGCUCCUUGUUAAUUGGAAUAAUGUACAAAUGUGAUCAAACUGAAAGGUGUCUCUUAAUACUCUCGACGGGCGUGAAAAGAUUCAAACGGUGGAGGAACAACGAUGUGUAAUCUCAGAAAACGUCCUCGCUCCGACCUGCCGUUCUGUUCUGCACAUGUCAAUCACAAUAGUUCAUUAACUUUCUAUAUAUAUUUAUAUAUCUUCUGUACGAAAUCUGUUUGUUUUUUUUAAGUUGGAAAAAGAGAAAAGACCCAGAGUCUUUGAGGAGGGGGGGGGGUCUUUAGUCCUCGGCUCGCGGUCCGCCUCAGAGCACAACAACAAAACAAAAAAAAAAGUGUCUGGUGUUUGUCGAGUCGUCUGUGUGCGUCGGCCCCGCGAAGCCCCGCCCACUCCGCCCACCACGGCCGCGUCCAUUGGUCCUUUGGGGGAAAGGUGGCGAGGGGAGGAGCAGGGUGGGUGGGAGGAGUCAUCAGCAGUGUUUACGGUGUGGUCUCCUCCCCCCCCCCCAACCAACCCCUCCAACAUGGAGAAGGUGCUCCGCGCGUGACGGAAAGCAGAUCAGGAGGUGGGUACUUGUGUCCUAGGAGAGGAGGAGGUUGGCUCUGCCCGUCUCCUGUGUUCAGCAGUCAGGUGUAAAAGCCCCCCACCCCCCCUCGCUGCCCCCCCCUCCUCUUUAGAACGUGGCGGGCGAACCCACAGCGCCGUGAGGGAUAGUAAAAAAGGUGGGCCGCGACUACGGCGAUUGUGUGGCUGGACUGCUUUGGGCGGAGCUGGGGGACAGACUGGGGCUGCAGCUGCCCGGGGGGGCGCCGCUGGGCCGGCCGCCGGCGGCGCCGCUUUCCAGACCCUCCGAGUUCUCCAGCAUCUCCUGGAUGAGAGGGGGCAUGGAGCCGGGGAUCUCCAUCUUCAGCGUGAUGACACGCUCAGCUCCU
Gasterosteus aculeatus aculeatus (three-spined stickleback) is the source of this 2336-nucleotide long non-coding RNA. The record is from Ensembl. NCBI's taxonomy places the organism in Eukaryota, Metazoa, Chordata, Actinopteri, Perciformes, Gasterosteidae.